CUCCUACGGAGGCAGCAUGGGGAAUAUUGGGACUAAUGGGACGGCGAAGCCUGAUCCAGCAAUGCCGCGUGUGUGAAGAAGGCCUUCGGGGUUGUUAAAGGUCAACUUUUAUCUAGGAGCGAAAUACUACCGGUUAAUAACCGGUGGGGCUGACGGUACUGAGGAAUAAGCACCGGCUAACUUCGUGCCAGCCGCCGCGGUAAUUC
RNAcentral lists this ribosomal RNA (206 nucleotides) under uncultured bacterium. RNAcentral's name for it is "partial 16S ribosomal RNA". It matches the Rfam family "Bacterial small subunit ribosomal RNA", at positions 336 to 526 of the family's 1533-position model. The record is from RNAcentral.